Molecule: non-coding RNA, 71 nt
Organism: Candidatus Blackburnbacteria bacterium
Lineage: Bacteria; Candidatus Blackburniibacteriota
Source: Rfam
GCGGGUAUAGUACAAUGGUAGUACACCUGGUUGCCAAUCAGGGUACAGGGGUUCGAUUCCCCUUACCCGCU